AGCGCAGGCGGUUUCUUAAGUCUGAUGUGAAAGCCCACGGCUCAACCGUGGAGGGUCAUUGGAAACUGUAAAACUUGAGUGCAGAAGAGGAAAGUGGAAUUCCAUGUGUAGCGGUGAAAUGCGCAGAGAUAUGGAGGAACACCAGUGGCGAAGGCGACUUUCUGGUCUGUAACUGACGCUGAUGUGCGAAGCGUGGGAUCAAACA
RNAcentral lists this ribosomal RNA (205 nucleotides) under uncultured bacterium. Its description in RNAcentral is "partial 16S ribosomal RNA". It matches the Rfam family "Bacterial small subunit ribosomal RNA", at positions 568 to 774 of the family's 1533-position model. The record is from RNAcentral.